RNAcentral lists this long non-coding RNA (1269 nucleotides) under Homo sapiens (human). RNAcentral's name for it is "PREDICTED lncRNA (TCONS_00202394)". Lineage: Eukaryota; Metazoa; Chordata; Mammalia; Primates; Hominidae. The record is from RNAcentral.
AAGGACGAGAGAAAAGCACGGUGCCCCUCGAGUCCUCUCCGCCCCCUCGGUCCUAACCCCCGCCCAGGCUCCAGGUCUUCCCCUUUGUGUGGCCUGGACUCUCUCCCAGCUACGACUUUGGUGGGAUCCAAAAGGAAGGAGGUGGCGGGGCCUACGGAAGAGGAUACCCAGGAGCCAGGGAGAAGGGCUAGAAAACGAAUAAUGUGACUCCAGAGGCGGAACCCCGACCCCCUCUAUUUCCCACCCCGGCUUCACCCGGAGACGAAAGCUGUGGGCAUCUUCAGUUUAACGGACUUCGCGGAAAAGGAGAGAAGGGGGGCGAGGGAAAUGGCAGUUUGUGUCCCAGGGGUUCUUCCCCUUCUUCUUGCCGCCUCCUAAAGACAAACAAACUCAACCCCCCACCCUCCGGGGUAUCAGGGAACUCGUGGGACCGUGAAAAAGUCGUUCCCAAAUCCGGCCGCCUGCGGACGUCGGACUUCCGCGGGGCCGGCGCCCGUUGGCGUCUGUAGCUCGGCGCAGCCACGCGGGGCUCCAGCGAGCGGGGUCCGCCACCCCUCGCGCCCUCCUGCGGCUUUCCCAGCGCUGGGCCAGUGCAGGCCGAGCCCUGCGUCCCUGCCUCGCUGGGUGGGGGUCCGGGGCGCGGCUGUCCACAGGGCCGCCUCCUCCUGCGGCCCGCGGGGAAGGGGCGCAUCCCACCCCGCUCUGCAGGCCGCCCUUCUGCCAGCUGGGAGGCGAGGGCACACGUCCUAAGGCUGCCCAAGGGGGAGAGGAAUCGCGCCGGUAGGAGAGCGCACGGGAACCAGGAACGCAAGGCGGGCACAGGGGAGCCGAAGGAGCCAGACAGGGCCCGGCCACGCGCCCUCCUCGCUCGGCUGCGCUCCGUGACGGGAACCCAGGCUCCCACGCACGGGGAAUGCCUAGAACGGAGCUAGAAUGGAGGAAAACCAGUUUGGCUAUUAAGGGAACCUGUCGACACAGAGCAGAGCAAGAUAAGGCCAGGUUUCAGAAAGAAUAGCUGUUUACCAUCAAAGCAACUGGGUUCCACACAGACAUGGUAUAUUAUACACAAAGACGAAGGAUAUGGGUCCACUCUCCGUCAAGGAAUGUUAUAAAUCCACGUGGUGUCCCUGGGUGUCAGGCUUGGCCAGAACAUCUGUGGCUGGAGAAGCCAAUGUGGCUCAGGAGCUCCCUGCUGGCUGCACAUCUGAACGGCUUCAGGAGUACAAGUUUCCCCAUCAAAGGUUUGGAAUAAAUUACACUAAAAAAUUG